RNAcentral lists this ribosomal RNA (201 nucleotides) under uncultured bacterium. RNAcentral's name for it is "partial 16S ribosomal RNA". It matches the Rfam family "Bacterial small subunit ribosomal RNA", at positions 1300 to 1500 of the family's 1533-position model. The record is from RNAcentral.
GCAGGCUGNAACCCGCCUGCGUGAAGUCGGAAUCGCUAGUAAUCGCGGAUCAGCAUGCCGCGGUGAAUACGUUCCCGGGCCUUGUACACACCGCCCGUCACACCAUGAGAGUCGGGAACACCCGAAGUCCGUAGCCUAACCGCAAGGAGGGCGCGGCCGAAGGUGGGUUCGAUAAUUGGGGUGAAGUCGUAACAAGGUACC